Girardinichthys multiradiatus is the source of this 345-nucleotide long non-coding RNA. RefSeq lists it as uncharacterized. Lineage: Eukaryota; Metazoa; Chordata; Actinopteri; Cyprinodontiformes; Goodeidae. The transcript is spliced from 3 exons. The record is from RefSeq and is a predicted model, not a curated record.
AGCUGCUCUCUGCGGCGAUGUGGCAAGUGGCUCAGCGCAGAGAUGUUCUCGAUUACGAAAUGCUUGGUGACUUUGUGAAGUUGGUGACGGACACAGUGCCAGACCUGCUUAGUGCAAAGCAACGAGGCAAAUUGCUGCUUCGACUCCAAGCCAAAGUUAUACUUGAGUUGUGCAGAAGUGCGGAAACAGCCAAAACAUUGCAUGUGCAACCUCAUCUUGAAUGAAUUCGACCACCAGGAUACUCGGGAAGUGGAUAUGCUGAGGUGGAUGCAGAGGAGGCUAUAUUUGUAGAACUUAUCCAAACACUAUUGAAAGAUCCAGCCGAGAGGGAACACUUUUACCAGG